CCUACGUGAGGCUGCAGUGAGGAAUAUUGGUCAAUGGGCUUACGCCUGAACCAGCCAAGUCGCGUGAGGGAAGACUGCCCUAUGGGUUGUAAACCUCUUUUGUCAGGGAGCAACGCCUGCUACGUGUAGCCGGACUGAGAGUACCUGAAGAAAAAGCAUCGGCUAACUCCGUGCCAGCCGCCGCGGUAAUACGGAGGAUGCGAGCGUUAUCCGGAUUUAUUGGGUUUAAAGGGUGCGUAGGCGGAAUGCCAAGUCAGCGGUAAAAUCGCGGGGCUCAACCUCGCUCCGCCGUUGAAACUGGCGUUCUUGAGUGGGCGAGAAGUAUGCGGAAUGCGUGGUGUAGCGGUGAAAUGCAUAGAGAUCACGCAGAACUCCGAUUGCGAAGGCAGCAUACCGGCGCCCAACUGACGCUGAAGCACGAAAGCGUGGGUAUCGAACAGGAUUAGAUACCCCUGUAGUC
This 460-nucleotide ribosomal RNA is filed under the name uncultured bacterium. RNAcentral's name for it is "partial 16S ribosomal RNA". It matches the Rfam family "Bacterial small subunit ribosomal RNA", at positions 338 to 795 of the family's 1533-position model. The record is from RNAcentral.